Molecule: ribosomal RNA, 500 nt
Filed under: uncultured bacterium
Lineage: Bacteria
Description: bacterial SSU rRNA
Rfam family: Bacterial small subunit ribosomal RNA
Source: RNAcentral
CCUGACGCAGCGACGCCGCGUGGGGGAGGAAGCUUUUCGGAGUGUAAACCCCUGUCAGGAGGGAAGAAAGGCUUGGUGAGGAAAUGCAUCAAGUUUGACGGUACCUCCAGAGGAAGCACCGGCUAACUCUGUGCCAGCAGCCGCGGUAAUACAGAGGGUGCGAGCGUUGUUCGGAAUUACUGGGCGUAAAGCGCGCGUAGGCGGUCGCUUAAGUCUUACCGUGAAAUGCCGGGGCUCAACCCCGUGCACGUCGGGGGAUACUGGGUGACUGGAGACAGGUAGAGGCGAGUGGAAUUCCGGGUGUAGCGGUGGAAUGCGUAGAGAUCCGGAAGAACACCAGAGGCGAAGGCGACUCGCUGGGCCUGGUCUGACGCUGAGGCGCGAAAGCGUGGGGAGCAAACAGGAUUAGAUACCCUGGUAGUCCACGCCCUAAACGAUGUGGGCUAGAUGUCGGGGGGCUUGCCCUUCGGUGUCGGAGCUAACGUGUAAGCCCACCGCCU